UACGUAGGGUCCGAGCGUUGUCCGGAAUUACUGGGCGUAAAGAGCUCGUAGGUGGUUUGUCGCGUUGUUCGUGAAAACUCACAGCUCAACUGUGGGCGUGCGGGCGAUACGGGCAGACUGGAGUACUGCAGGGGAGACUGGAAUUCCUGGUGUAGCGGUGGAAUGCGCAGAUAUCAGGAGGAACACCGGUGGCGAAGGCGGGUCUCUGGGCCGAUAUUGACGCUGAGGAGCGAAAGCGUGGGGAGCGAACAGG
This 253-nucleotide ribosomal RNA is filed under the name uncultured bacterium. RNAcentral describes it as "partial 16S ribosomal RNA". It matches the Rfam family "Bacterial small subunit ribosomal RNA", at positions 524 to 776 of the family's 1533-position model. The record is from RNAcentral.